Molecule: ribosomal RNA, 216 nt
Filed under: Glomeromycotina sp.
Lineage: Eukaryota; Fungi; Glomeromycota
Description: partial small subunit ribosomal RNA
Rfam family: Eukaryotic small subunit ribosomal RNA (bases 54-216)
Source: RNAcentral
GGGUCAGUAGGUUGGUCGUGCCACCGGUACGUACUGGUCUCACUGGGUCCUCCUUCCUGAAGAACCGUAAUGCCAUUAAUUUGGUGUUGCGGGGAAACAGGACUGUUACUUUGAAAAAAUUAGAGUGUUUAAAGCAAGCUAACGCUUGAAUACAUUAGCAUGGAAUAAUGAAAUAGGACGUUCGAUCCUAUUUUGUUGGUUUCUAGGAUUGACGUA